UCCGCUCCAAAACAUUUCCCUCUCACUGAAAAAUUGGGUCAACAACAUUAACAUUCUCAUUUCUUGUCGUCGAUGCUCUACCUCUAAAUUCGUUGAUAGAGCGGAGCAAAGAAAAGCAGAUCGACAAAACCUAGCAUGAUAGUUUAAUUGAGCAUGUCAAAGCCUUGCCAUAUUCAAUGAAAGUGUUCAUUAUGAUUACGCAAAGUUUCGUCACUGAUAUUUCUUCUAGGACUUUGACAAACCCUGUGGAGCUCAUAAAAUGCUUGAGAUCCAUUAAAAAGAAUGCUUUUUUUAACAUCUCCGUAUCCUGUUAUAAUUACUCUUCAAGAUGACCUGACACCAGAUCUUCAGGCUAACGUGGCUAAGCGAUUCAAGUGAAGAUGAUGUUGAUGACCAAGAGCGCCUUUCAGAAGCAUCUGACUACAGGAGCCCAAAUGCCAUUCAUGUUUAAAACUAAGCACCUUUGUACAAGAAGGAAAUCUUUUUUGAGUUUUGCUAUGUCAGCUUCCUUGUUGCUGCAGCUGGCUUGCAGAGUUUGUUGAGCCAUUCGCUGGCCAUUGUAGACAUUUAUGCACUUCUCGUGAUGCGAUCCUUGUAGAAUAAUCGAAUUGUUACUUUGUUUGCUUUUGGUUAUGGGGUGAGAUAAUGCACUUAACAGUAACAUAACUCAGUCGUUGCAGCACAUAACUUUGUUUGCUUUUUGAUAUAGAUGACUGCAAUUAGUCUAUUGCCUAGUUUUUUUUGUCGUGUGACACCGACUAACUAGGAAUAUUUUAAAUUGCUUCGUUUUGCAUAUGAUGCUUUGUAGAGAAUUUGUUGAAAUUUUCCUUUUUCUUUUUAAAUGAAAGUGCAAAUCAGCAAUAAUUUCAUCAAAUUUCUUUUUAAUUUAGAAAAUCUUGGUCAUGAUAGCUCUGGUCAUUGUUGCUUUGUAAUCACAUGUAGCAUCAGAUUUUCAUAGAAGUACUGGAAAACUUAAGCUAUUCACUGAUAGUUCAAUUCUGGAUGGAGCCAAUUCUAAAUUGAGUUUUGAUGUAAGGGAUGUUUUUCUGGUAACUUUUCGCAGAAAAAUGUAUAUAAACAAGAUGUGAACUUCAAAAAUUCUAGGAAUACUACAUUUUGAAUAGAAAACCUUUGAAGUUCAGUUGUGAAAACCAUUCAUCACUUCCAUUCCCAACUAUUUUGUAGCAAAGGAACUUGAAAAAUAUUUAAUCUAAAAAUGUUGCAAUAGUGCAUAUUAAUGUUGAGAAGAUCCUCGAAGUUUUUGUUCUUCCAUGAUGAGCAAUUUUCAUCUUUCUUUCUUUUUGCAUAAUGGCAACUUGUUCUCUUCUAGCUGCCGGUAUGCUUCCUGUAGGAGCCUCAGCUAACAACGAAGCCUCCACUUGUUCUUGCAUAGUGGCUUCGUUUCCUCUCUUUACUGCUGGUGGGCUUGGAGCCUUUAACUUUGGAGAGACGGGAGGAGAGAUUUUUGAAGACUUAGAAGUAGUUUUGACAUUACAAUUAUUUGUUGCAGAAGUUGGCAAUGGUAAUGGUAAUGAUGGUAGAGUAGGAGAUUUUCGUGAAGUAAUUUGCCCAUGGUUUUUCCUUUAUUGGGUCUUUCAUGUAAAUUCUCGUGUUCCUGUGUGUUCAAUGCUUGAUACAUUUUAAUGUUUGUUUUUCUUAUUGCUUCUUCGUUUUGAUUUCUUUGUAAGCUGAUGCUGGAAAAUUGGAAAUGGUCCCAAAUCCCAAUUGGGAACCAGUGCUGCUGGACCAUUUGGUUGCAUUAAUCUAAGAGUUUGAAUGUAUUACAUCUCA
Long non-coding RNA from Mangifera indica (mango), 1791 nucleotides. RefSeq lists it as uncharacterized. Lineage: Eukaryota; Viridiplantae; Streptophyta; Magnoliopsida; Sapindales; Anacardiaceae. The transcript is spliced from 4 exons. The record is from RefSeq and is a predicted model, not a curated record.